RNAcentral lists this ribosomal RNA (433 nucleotides) under uncultured bacterium. RNAcentral describes it as "partial 16S ribosomal RNA". It matches the Rfam family "Bacterial small subunit ribosomal RNA", at positions 29 to 507 of the family's 1533-position model. The record is from RNAcentral.
AACGAACGCUGGCGGCAGGCCUAACACAUGCAAGUCGAGCGCGCCCUUCGGGGUGAGCGGCGGACGGGUGAGUAACGCGUGGGAACGUGUCCUUUUCUACGGAAUAGCCUCGGGAAACUGAGAGUAAUACCGUAUACGCCCUUUGGGGGAAAGAUUUAUCGGAAAAGGAUCGGCCCGCGUUGGAUUAGGUAGUUGGUGGGGUAAUGGCCUACCAAGCCGACGAUCCAUAGCUGGUUUGAGAGGAUGAUCAGCCACACUGGGACUGAGACACGGCCCAGACUCCUACGGGAGGCAGCAGUGGGGAAUCUUAGACAAUGGGGGCAACCCUGAUCGAGCCAUGCCGCGUGAGUGAUGAAGGCCUUAGGGUUGUAAAGCUCUUUCAGCUGGGAAGAUAAUGACGGUACCAGCAGAAGAAGCCCCGGCUAACUCCGUG